UGGGGAAUAUUGGACAAUGGGCGCAAGCCUGAUCCAGCCAUGCCGCGUGAGUGAUGAAGGCCUUAGGGUUGUAAAGCUCUUUUACCAGGGAUGAUAAUGACAGUACCUAGAGAAGAAGCACCGGCUAACUCCGUGCCAGCAGCCGCGGUAAUACGGAGGGUGCGAGCGUUAAUCGGAAUUACUGGGCGUAAAGCGCGCGUAGGCGGUUUGUUAAGUCGGAUGUGAAAGCCCCGGGCUCAACCUGGGAAUUGCACCCGAUACUGGCCGACUGGAGUGCGAGAGAGGGAGGUAGAAUUCCACGUGUAGCGGUGAAAUGCGUAGAUAUGUGGAGGAAUACCGGUGGCGAAGGCGGCCUCCUGGCUCGACACUGACGCUGAGGUGCGAAAGCGUGGGGAGCAAACAGGAUUAGAUACCCCUGUAGUCC
This 424-nucleotide ribosomal RNA is filed under the name uncultured prokaryote. RNAcentral describes it as "bacterial SSU rRNA". It matches the Rfam family "Bacterial small subunit ribosomal RNA", at positions 355 to 796 of the family's 1533-position model. The record is from RNAcentral.